Molecule: ribosomal RNA, 114 nt
Filed under: uncultured bacterium
Lineage: Bacteria
Description: partial 16S ribosomal RNA
Rfam family: Bacterial small subunit ribosomal RNA
Source: RNAcentral
CGUUCCCGGGCCUUGUACACACCGCCCGUCACACCAUGGGAGUGGGUUUUACCAGAAGGCACUCGUUUAACCGCAAGGGGAACGGUGACCACGGUAGGAUUCAUGACUGGGGUG